GAUGAACGCUGGCGGCGUGCCUAAUACAUGCAAGUCGAGCGAACAGACGAGGAGCUUGCUCCUCUGACGUUAGCGGCGGACGGGUGAGUAACACGUGGAUAACCUACCUAUAAGACUGGGAUAACUUCGGGAAACCGGAGCUAAUACCGGAUAACAUGUUGAACCGCAUGGUUCAACAGUGAAAGACGGUCUUGCUGUCACUUAUAGAUGGAUCCGCGCCGCAUUAGCUAGUUGGUAAGGUAACGGCUUACCAAGGCAACGAUGCGUAGCCGACCUGAGAGGGUGAUCGGCCACACGGGAACUGAGACACGGUCCAGACUCCAACGGGAGGCAGCAGUAGGAAAUCUUCCGCAAUGGGCGAAAGCCUGACGGAGCAACGCCGCGUGAGUGAAGAAGGUCUUCGGAUCGUAAAACUCUGUUAUUAGGGAAGAACAAAUGUGUAAGUAACUAUGCACGUCUUGACGGUACCUAAUCAGAAAGCCACGGCUAACUACGUG
RNAcentral lists this ribosomal RNA (497 nucleotides) under uncultured bacterium. Its description in RNAcentral is "partial 16S ribosomal RNA". It matches the Rfam family "Bacterial small subunit ribosomal RNA", at positions 28 to 507 of the family's 1533-position model. The record is from RNAcentral.